GGAUAGCUCAAUUGGUUGGUGCGUGGUGCUGAUAAUGCCACGGCUGCAGGUUUGAUCCCCGUAUGGAACA
Podarcis lilfordi (Lilford's wall lizard) is the source of this 70-nucleotide non-coding RNA. NCBI's taxonomy places the organism in Eukaryota, Metazoa, Chordata, Lepidosauria, Squamata, Lacertidae. The record is from the annotation of a GenBank genome assembly.